GAUGAACGCUGGCGGCGUGCCUAAUACAUGCAAGUCGAGCGAACGGACGAGAAGCUUGCUUCUCCGAUGUUAGCGGCGGACGGGUGAGUAACACGUGGAUAACCUACCUAUAAGACUGGGAUAACUUCGGGAAACCGUAGCUAAUACCGGAUAAUAUUUUGAACCGCAUGGUUCAAAAGUGAAAGACGGUCUUGCUGUCACUUAUAGAUGGAUCCGCGCUGCAUUAGCUAGUUGGUAAGGUAACGGCUUACCAAGGCAACGAUGCAUAGCCGACCUGAGAGGGUGGUCGGCCACACUGGAACUGAGACACGGUCCAGACUCCUACGGGAGGCAGCAGUAGGGAAUCUUCCGCAAUGGGCGAAAGCCUGACGGAGCAACGCCGCGUGAGUGAUGAAGGUCUUCGGAUCGUAAAACUCUGUUAUUAGGGAAGAACAUAUGUGUAAGUAACUGUGCACAUCUUGACGGUACCUAAUCAGAAAGCCACGGCUAACUACGUG
This 497-nucleotide ribosomal RNA is filed under the name uncultured bacterium. RNAcentral describes it as "partial 16S ribosomal RNA". It matches the Rfam family "Bacterial small subunit ribosomal RNA", at positions 28 to 507 of the family's 1533-position model. The record is from RNAcentral.